Long non-coding RNA from Daucus carota subsp. sativus, 770 nucleotides. RefSeq lists it as uncharacterized. The transcript is spliced from 3 exons. The record is from RefSeq and is a predicted model, not a curated record. Lineage: Eukaryota; Viridiplantae; Streptophyta; Magnoliopsida; Apiales; Apiaceae.
CUUUGCAUGUCUUUUUUGCUAAAUUUCGUUAGGCAUGUUUGUUCGUGGGGAGAGAAGGUUGAAGGUUCCGGUGUCCUUGGGGUAUGAGACUAAAAGUGGUCGUGGGACAAAAGAUAUUAAAGGACCUAAAGGUGCUUCUGGUCAUAAGCUUAUCAUUGAUGUCACACUGGUUGCUGUCGACUUCUGAUGGCGGGAGGACAUUAGCACUUGGCACUUUCUUCGUCAUUGCGACAUGGAAUUUUGGACAUACUAUGGAAGGAAACAACAUACUACUGGCAUGAGGGCAGAAGAUUUGUGGUGCCCUUUUUGAGUCAUCCCAAAUUGACUAACAUGUUUUUGUGGUGCCCUUUUUGAGUCAUCCCAGAUUGACUAACAUGUAACAUGGAUUCUUUGAACAGAUUUACCAUUGAUGGCAUGUUAAUAUCUAUACUAGUCAAUAGUCAUACUCCUGUAGGAGCAACCUUCUUAGUUGGCAUAGUGGCAUUACUUUCAUAAUGUUGAAAGUGAUAUUUUUAUGUAUCAAAUUGCAUUGCAACUGUUGGCUCUUCCACCUUUUCUUCACUCCAUCCACCAUAUCAAUUUCCAGUGAUUGCAUGCAUACACGAUUUAUUGUUGAGACUUGAUAUUUUAAUUCUCCAUGUCAAAACACAUUUCUCUUUCAACUAUUUGGCAAUCCUUUCACAGCACAGCAGCUACUAACCAUGGGAUAAUGUUGUUUGAAAUUAUGUCCUAUGGCGAAAUGCUCUUUUAUCUUCUGGUUGGCAGUUAAA